Molecule: ribosomal RNA, 406 nt
Filed under: uncultured bacterium
Lineage: Bacteria
Description: partial 16S ribosomal RNA
Rfam family: Bacterial small subunit ribosomal RNA
Source: RNAcentral
AUUGAACGCUGGCGGCAGGCCUAACACAUGCAAGUCGAACGAGUGGCGGACAGGUGAGUAAUGUCUGGGAAACUGCCCGAUGGAGGGGGAUAACUACUGGAAACGGUAGCUAAUACCGCAUACCAUCGGAUGUGCCCAGAUGGGAUUAGCUAGUUGGUGGGGUAAAGGCCUACCAAGGCGACGAUCCGUAACUGGUCUGAGAGGAUGAUCAGUCACACUGGAACUGAGACACGGUCCAGACUCCUACGGGAGGCAGCAGUGGGGAAUAUUGGACAAUGGGCGAAAGCCUGAUCCAGCCAUGCCGCGUGUGUGAAGAAGGCCUUCGGGUUGUAAAGCACUUUCAGCGGGGAGGCGUUACCCGCAGAAGAAGCACCGGCUAACUCCGUGCCAGCAGCCGCGGUAAUUC